UACGGGGGGGGCAAGCGUUGUUCGGAAUUACUGGGCGUAAAGGGCCCGUAGGCGGCCAACUAAGUCCGACGUGAAAUCCCAAGGCUUAACCUUGGAACUGCGUCGGAUACUGGAUGGCUUGAAUUCGGGAGAGGGAUGCAGAAUUCCAGGUGUAGCGGUGAAAUGCGUAGAUAUCUGGGGGAAUACCGGUGGCGAAGGCGGCAUCCUGGACCGACAUUGACGCUGAACGGCGAAAGCUAGGGGAGCAAACGGG
Molecule: ribosomal RNA, 253 nt
Filed under: uncultured bacterium
Lineage: Bacteria
Description: partial 16S ribosomal RNA
Rfam family: Bacterial small subunit ribosomal RNA
Source: RNAcentral